This 580-nucleotide ribosomal RNA is filed under the name uncultured bacterium. Its description in RNAcentral is "bacterial SSU rRNA". It matches the Rfam family "Bacterial small subunit ribosomal RNA", at positions 58 to 594 of the family's 1533-position model. The record is from RNAcentral.
CAAGUCGAACGGGAAGUCGCUGAUUGAUCCUUCGGGAAAGAGAAGCGGCGGAUAGUGGCGAAAGGGUGAGUAUCGCGUGGGUAAUCUACCCUCAAGUUGGGGAUAACCCGCCGAAAGGCGGGCUAAUACCGAAUGUGAUUCCUGGCCGCAUGGUCAGGCGAUCGAAGGUGGGGAUUCGCUUCGGCGAACCUAUCGCUUGAGGAGGAGCCCGCGUCCUAUCAGCUAGUUGGCGGGGUAAUGGCCCACCAAGGCUAAGACGGGUAGCUGGUCUGAGAGGAUGGUCAGCCACACUGGGACUGAGACACUGCCCAGACUCCUACGGGAGGCUGCAGUCGAGGAUCAUUCGCAAUGCGCGAAAGCGUGACGAUGCGACGCUGCGUGGAGGAUGAAGGCCUUCGGGUUGUAAACUCCUGUCAUGAGAGAACAAGGUCGCGGCUCGAAUAGAGCUGACGGCCUGAUGGUAUCUCAAGAGGAAGUCACGGCUAACUCUGUGCCAGCAGCCGCGGUAAUACAGAGGUGGCUAACGUUGUUCGGAUUUACUGGGCGUAAAGGGUGCGUAGGUGGACGGGUAUGUUGGAUG